Molecule: ribosomal RNA, 312 nt
Filed under: Lema diversa
Lineage: Eukaryota; Metazoa; Arthropoda; Insecta; Coleoptera; Chrysomelidae
Description: partial 12S rRNA
Source: RNAcentral
AUUAGUAUUAGUUAAGUUCUUGAAAAUUAAAGAAUGUGGCGGUAUUNNACACUUUUCAGAGGAACUUGUCCUGUAAUUGAUAGUCCACGAWUUUAWUUAAUUUUUUUUUUAGUUUAUAUAUCGUCGUUAUUAAAAAUUUUAUAAAAAUUAGUUAUUUUUAGAAUUUUAAAUUAAAAAAUAAAUCAGAUCAAGAUGUAGUUAAUAAGUAAGUAGAGAUGAGUUACAUUAAAUUUAUGAAAGGAGAUUUAUUAUUGUAAUAMAUUGAAUUUGGAUUUGAAAGUAAUUUAAAUUAAUUAAUUUAUAUGAUUAGGU